This 1769-nucleotide long non-coding RNA is filed under the name Fukomys damarensis (Damara mole-rat). Its description in RNAcentral is "lncRNA (ENSFDAG00000025107.1)". The record is from RNAcentral. Lineage: Eukaryota; Metazoa; Chordata; Mammalia; Rodentia; Bathyergidae.
GGAUUUUUCUGUAUGUCCCGCCUCUUCCUCCUCUCACAGUCACAUCGCUCCUGCCCAUCCAGGCCCAGCGGGCUGCUUGCUCCUUGCCUGGAGUUUUCUCAAACCCCUGCUUUGAACUUGCAGAUCCUGCCCUGAUGCCUGUCCCACUUCUCUGUUCCUGAGUCCAUCAACAACAUCACUUCUCGUCACCCAGCUCAGAAGUGCUCACCUGGUCCAUUGUGCUCCCGACUCCCCCAACUCCUCAGGACUCUGCAGGGUGACGGCCUAGAACAGGGGCGCUCACUUUCUUCCCUCUGCCCCACUCCCAGAACACUGUCCAGUACACGGUGAGCACACCAGAUGCAGUCGUUGAGUGCAGAAGUGAGUAAAGGAGCAGAGCCAUGACUGUUUCUUUAGAUGUAUUUCAAGCAUUUUGUCUCUCUGUGCCCUGUCUGGAUUUGUGUGGCCUUUCUGGACAGUGCAAGGAGAGUCCAGUGCUCCUGGCACGCCCUGGUCACAGCUCUGCAUGUGAAUUAAUGAAGGACAAUCAGCGGGACACAGGAGCACAAUGUUUAGAAUUGGAGGGAUAGUGGCCAACAGCUCAAUGGACACCUUCUGACUGACAUGAGACUCCCUCUUCUACAGCCAGUGUCUUUUAAAAUUCUUGGCAAAGCAGUGCAAACCUGCUGGGGAAGUGGCCAAGGACUGGACAGCAUAUGGAAGCCUCUGGAGUCCUAGCAAGUUACCCUGCCUCAGCCUCCAUCUCCCUCUGUUGUCUCCAGCCUCACUGGUACCUUCCGGCCUCCUCAGGAUCCUAUCUUGCCCUGCAGAUAUCUGGACUCCUGUGCCACCACACCAGAACCUCGGCAGUGCACAGCCCAUCUGCCUGUCCCCUGAGCCUGUCCCCACCACGCUCAAGGGUCAGCACAAAGAACGAACAAACCCCUGCCAUUCUCUGGGCUUUGGAACUAGCUGCAUUUUGUAUAUCUUACCCGGCCUCCGUCUCAGCCACCCGACCGAUUUCACGUCAUCUGUAGAUAACUCUACGUUUUGUCCCCUGACCGGAUGAGACACACAGGAGACGUCCUCAGACAGAUGUGCUUUGCGGGCCCCGCUGCGCCUUCUGAGCUGCUAUUUCUUCACCCAAUGUGUGUUGUGACACAGCCGGGCGUUCUUGCCUGAGCUGCUGUUUCUGGGAUUAUGUUAUCUAUUUUGAGACUCGGACUUUCCCAGAUGCAUCCCCAAAUGGUGUUUACUGCAUGUGGAGAACAUGGACCCACGGAGGAACCAAGCCAGCCAGAAGACAGGCCAUGGGGAACCUCAAAGCAAGCCUGAAGUGCCCACCUGAGGCAACGUAUUGAUCCAUUCUCCCGACAGCAGUGUGGACACCCCCCGGGGAAAGAGAUAUCUAUUUAGCAUUAACUUCAAAUCGAAGCUCACUUGUUCGGACUUUAUGUGAGUCAAAGAACGACUUGCCAGAAUAUGUGUAUAUAAAGAACGCUUUAGUUUGCACCUGCCAUCGAUGCGCUGUACUAAUCCAUCCUCGUGCACCUGUUUGACACUACAUGUUAGGUGCCCUGUGCCCCUGCCUCAAGUUACCCAGAUGUCCAGUGGUGGAGCUGCCUUCUAAACCCAGGCAGCCUGAUUUCAGGGCCCACCCAUUCUGUCUUUUGCUAUGCAUUUGUGUGUGCGUGCGUGCACACACAUACACACACACACAUACAAGCAUACACACACGGACACACACGUGUCACAUGAGCAAGCAUAUACUUAUUGACUGCAUGUGUCAA